GACGAACGCUGGCGGCGUGCUUAACACAUGCAAGUCGAACGGUAAGGCCCUUCGGGGUACACGAGUGGCGAACGGGUGAGUAACACGUGGGUGAUCUGCCCUGCACUUCGGGAUAAGCCUGGGAAACUGGGUCUAAUACCGGAUAGGACCACUGCCCGCAUGGGUGGUGGUGGAAAGCUUUUGCGGUGUGGGAUGGGCCCGCGGCCUAUCAGCUUGUUGGUGGGGUGAUGGCCUACCAAGGCGACGACGGGUAGCCGGCCUGGGAGGGUGACCGGCAACACUGGGACUGAGAUACGGCCCAGACUCCUACGGGAGGCAGCAGUGGGGAAUAUUGCACAAUGGGCGCAAGCCUGAUGCAGCGACGCCGCGUGAGGGAUGACGGCCUUCGGGUUGUAAACCUCUUUCAGCACCGACGAAGCGCAAGUGACGGUAGGUGCAGAAGAAGGACCGGCCAACUACGUGCCAGCCGCCGCGGUAA
RNAcentral lists this ribosomal RNA (478 nucleotides) under uncultured bacterium. Its description in RNAcentral is "partial 16S ribosomal RNA". It matches the Rfam family "Bacterial small subunit ribosomal RNA", at positions 28 to 523 of the family's 1533-position model. The record is from RNAcentral.